UACGGAGGGAGCAAGCGUUGUUCGGAUUUACUGGGCGUAAAGGGCGCGUAGGCGGCGUGACAAGUCACUUGUGAAAUCUCCGGGCUUAACUCGGAGCGGCCAAGUGAUACUGUCGUGCUAGAGUGCGGAAGGGGCUACUGGAAUUCUCGGUGUAGCGGUGAAAUGCGUAGAUAUCGAGAGGAACACCUGCGGCGAAGGCGGCACUCUGGGCUGGAACUGACGCUGAGGAGCGAAAGCGUGGGUAGCAAACAGG
Molecule: ribosomal RNA, 253 nt
Filed under: uncultured bacterium
Lineage: Bacteria
Description: partial 16S ribosomal RNA
Rfam family: Bacterial small subunit ribosomal RNA
Source: RNAcentral